AUGGCGGACUUUAAUGAAAUUCUAUUCUCACACGAGAAGCAAAGAGGCCCCCCUAGGCCGAUGGAGAUGAUGCAACAGUUCCAUGAUGCAUUGGUGGAUUGUGAAUUGGAAGACAAUGGCUUCCCCGGCGAUCAGUUUACGUGGCGCAGAAGGAGAUUGAGAGAAAGGCUGGACAGAGGUGUUUGUAACGGGGAACUCCAUGGUCUGUUCCCAAAUGCUAAAGUGAUUGCUACAUCUUGA
Molecule: ribosomal RNA, 240 nt
Filed under: Triticum aestivum (bread wheat)
Lineage: Eukaryota; Viridiplantae; Streptophyta; Magnoliopsida; Poales; Poaceae
Description: partial small subunit ribosomal RNA
Source: RNAcentral